Non-coding RNA from Gymnothorax javanicus (giant moray), 75 nucleotides. NCBI's taxonomy places the organism in Eukaryota, Metazoa, Chordata, Actinopteri, Anguilliformes, Muraenidae. The record is from the annotation of a GenBank genome assembly.
GGUGGCAUGGCUCAGGAGGUAGAGCGGGUGGUCUAAAAAUCAGAAGGUUCUUGGUUCAAUCCCCAGCUCCUGCCA